AUGGAACUUUUCCAGAAAUAUAUAAGGAGAAGAGAUGCUGAGAUGCUGCCAGGAUCAGCACCUCCAGUGGCUGCCUCCAGCUCAGCUCCUGAGGAAGAACCAUGCAUCUGAUGAAGCUCUGCUUGCCGUAGUGUCACACAUGGAUGUUUCAGCUUUCAGCUGGAUGGUUUUGGAAGCAGUAAGGUAGGAGGUGUACUACACCUUCUGAUCAUUGGUAGCUAACCUGGCUUUUUCUAACCUUUAUCUUUUUCUGCUUUUUACCAAAUAUAAUGACAGCUUUUUUCUCUCUUAGGCUUUUUUCCUCACAAAUUGCUUUUUUUUUACCACCGACCGCCGCCAUUUUUCAUCCCGCUCAACAUUAAACCGCUAACUUUUUAUCAUCAC
This 384-nucleotide long non-coding RNA is filed under the name Danio rerio (zebrafish). Its description in RNAcentral is "lncRNA (ENSDARG00000099293.2)". The record is from RNAcentral. Lineage: Eukaryota; Metazoa; Chordata; Actinopteri; Cypriniformes; Danionidae.